RNAcentral lists this ribosomal RNA (253 nucleotides) under uncultured bacterium. RNAcentral describes it as "partial 16S ribosomal RNA". It matches the Rfam family "Bacterial small subunit ribosomal RNA", at positions 524 to 776 of the family's 1533-position model. The record is from RNAcentral.
UACAGAGGGUGCAAGCGUUGUUCGGAAUUAUUGGGCGUAAAGCGCGUGUAGGCGGCUUUGCAAGUCGGGUGUGAAAGCCCUCAGCUUAACUGAGGAAGUGCGCCCGAAACUGCAGAGCUUGAGUACCGGAGAGGAUGGUGGAAUUCCCGAAGUAGAGGUGAAAUUCGUAGAUAUCAGGAGGAACACCGGUGGCGAAGGCGGAUCUCUGGGCCUUACCUGACACUGAUGCGCGACAGCAUGGGGAGCAAACAGG